This 468-nucleotide ribosomal RNA is filed under the name uncultured bacterium. RNAcentral describes it as "partial 16S ribosomal RNA". It matches the Rfam family "Bacterial small subunit ribosomal RNA", at positions 28 to 507 of the family's 1533-position model. The record is from RNAcentral.
GACGAACGCUGGCGGCGUGCUUAACACAUGCAAGUCGAACGGAAAGGCCCUGCCUUUGUGGGGUGCUCGAGUGGCGAACGGGUGAGUAACACGUGAGUAACCUGCCCUUGACUUUGGGAUAACUUCAGGAAACUGGGGCUAAUACCGGAUAGGAGCUCCUGCUGCAUGGUGGGGGUUGGAAAGUUUCGGCGGUUGGGGAUGGACUCGCGGCUUAUCCGCUUGUUGGUGGGGUAGUGGCUUACCAAGGCUUUGACGGGUAGCCGGCCUGAGAGGGUGACCGGCCACAUUGGGACUGAGAUACGGCCCAGACUCCUACGGGAGGCAGCAGUGGGGAAUAUUGCACAAUGGGCGGAAGCCUGAUGCAGCAACGCCGCGUGCGGGAUGACGGCCUUCGGGUUGUAAACCGCUUUCGCCUGUGACGAAGCGUGAGUGGCGGUAAUGGGUAAAGAAGCACCGGCUAACUACGUG